AGUUGCGAUCUUACCAGCACUAAUGCACAAGAUCCCAUCACAACUCCACAGUUAAGCGUGCUUGGGCGUGAGUAAUACUUCGAUGGGUGACCUCUUGGGAUGUCCUCGUGUUGCACCUC
RNAcentral lists this ribosomal RNA (119 nucleotides) under Lupinus angustifolius (narrow-leaved blue lupine). Lineage: Eukaryota; Viridiplantae; Streptophyta; Magnoliopsida; Fabales; Fabaceae. The record is from RNAcentral.